Molecule: ribosomal RNA, 469 nt
Filed under: Aegla parana
Lineage: Eukaryota; Metazoa; Arthropoda; Malacostraca; Decapoda; Aeglidae
Description: partial 16S large subunit ribosomal RNA
Rfam family: Bacterial large subunit ribosomal RNA
Source: RNAcentral
CGCGGUAUUUUGACUGUGCGAAGGUAGCAUAAUCAUUUGUCUUUUAAUUGAAGACUUGUAUGAAUGGCUGAACGAGAAAAUAACUGUCUCUUUAAAAAAUCUUGAAUUUUACUUUUAAGUGAAAAGGCUUAAAUAAUUUUAAAGGACGAUAAGACCCUAUAAAUCUUUAUAUUAUUUUUCUUUAACUUUCAAAUUAUAUAUUAAAUGAAACAAAAGAAAAAAAUAUUAUAUUGGGGAGAUAAAAAUAUAAUUUUUAACUGUUUUAUAUAUAAAACAAUAAUUUUUGAUUUAUUAAAAAUUGAUCCUUUUUAAAGAUUUUAAGAUUAAGUUACUUUAGGGAUAACAGCGUAAUUUUUUUUUGAGAGUUCUUAUCGAAAAAAAAGUUUGCGACCUCGAUGUUGAAUUAAAAUUAUCCUUAUAAGUGCAGAAGCUAUAAAGGAAAGUCUGUUCGACUUUUAAAAUUUUACAU